GACGAACGCUGGCGGCGUGCCUAAUACAUGCAAGUAGAACGCACAGUUUAUACCGUAGCUUGCUACACCAUAGACUGUGAGUUGCGAACGGGUGAGUAACGCGUAGGUAACCUGCCUGGUAGCGGGGGAUAACUAUUGGAAACGAUAGCUAAUACCGCAUAAUAUUAAUUAUUGCAUGAUAAUUAAUUGAAAGGUGCAAUUGCACCACUACCAGAUGGACCUGCGUUGUAUUAGCUAGUAGGUGAGGUAACGGCUCACCUAGGCGACGAUACAUAGCCGACCUGAGAGGAUGAUCGGCCACACUGGGACUGAGACACGGCCCAGACUCAUACGGGAGGCAGCAGUAGGGAAUCUUCGGCAAUGGACGAAAGUCUGACCGAGCAACGCCGCGUGAGUGAAGAAGGUUUUCGGAUCGUAAAGCUCUGUUGUAAGAGAAGAACGGGUGUGAGAGUGGAAAGUUCACACUGUGACGGUAUCUUACCAGAAAGAGACGGCUAACUACGUG
RNAcentral lists this ribosomal RNA (505 nucleotides) under uncultured bacterium. Its description in RNAcentral is "partial 16S ribosomal RNA". It matches the Rfam family "Bacterial small subunit ribosomal RNA", at positions 28 to 507 of the family's 1533-position model. The record is from RNAcentral.